UAAUAGAUACCCGGGUAGUCCACGCCGUAAACGAUGUCGACUUGGAGGUUGUUCCCUUGAGGAGUGGCUUCCGGAGCUAACGCGUUAAGUCGACCGCCUGGGGAGUACGGCCGCAAGGUUAAACUCAAAUGAAUUGACGGAGGCCCGCACAAGCGGUGGAGCAUGUGGUUUUAAUUCGAUGCAACGCGAAGAACCUUACCUACUCUUGACAUCCACGGAACUUAGCAGAGAUGCUUUGGUGCCUUCGGGAACCGUGAGACAGGUGCUGCAUGGCUGUCGUCAGCUCGUGUUGUGAAAUGUUGGGUUAAGUCCCGCAACGAGCGCAACCCUUAUCCUUUGUUGCCAGCGGUCCGGCCGGGAACUCAAAGGAGACUGCCAGUGAUAAACUGGAGGAAGGUGGGGAUGACGUCAAGUCAUCAUGGCCCUUACGAGUAGGGCUACACACGUGCUACAAUGGCGCAUACAAAGAGAAGCGACCUCGCGAGAGCAAGCGGACCUCAUAAAGUGCGUCGUAGUCCGGAUUGGAGUCUGC
Molecule: ribosomal RNA, 532 nt
Filed under: uncultured bacterium
Lineage: Bacteria
Description: bacterial SSU rRNA
Rfam family: Bacterial small subunit ribosomal RNA
Source: RNAcentral